This 1032-nucleotide ribosomal RNA is filed under the name uncultured Thiomonas sp. RNAcentral's name for it is "bacterial SSU rRNA". It matches the Rfam family "Bacterial small subunit ribosomal RNA", at positions 8 to 982 of the family's 1533-position model. The record is from RNAcentral. Lineage: Bacteria; Pseudomonadati; Pseudomonadota; Betaproteobacteria; Burkholderiales.
AGAGUUUGAUCCUGGCUCAGAUUGAACGCUAGCGGCAUGCUUUACACAUGCAAGUCGAACGGCAGCGCGGGGUAACCUGGCGGCGAGUGGCGAACGGGUGAGUAAUACAUCGGAACGUGCCCUGUGAUGGGGGAUAACUACGCGAAAGCGUGCUAAUACCGCAUACGACCUACGGGUGAAAGUGGGGGAUCGCAAGACCUCACGUCAUAGGAGCGGCCGAUGGCGGAUUAGCUAGUUGGUGAGGUAAAGGCUUACCAAGGCAACGAUCCGUAGCUGGUCUGAGAGGACGACCAGCCACACUGGGACUGAGACACGGCCCAGACUCCUACGGGAGGCAGCAGUGGGGAAUCUUGCACGAUGGGGGCAACCCUGAUCCAGCAAUGCCGCGUGUGGAAUGAAGGCCUUCGGGUUGUAAACCACUUUUUGGCGGGGGCGAAAUAUCGAGUGCUAAUACCAUUCGGUGAUGACGGUACCCGCAGUAUAAGCACCGGCUAAACUACGUGCCAGCAGCCGCGGUAAUACGUAGGGUGCAAGCGUUAAUCGGAAAUUACUGGGGCGUAAAGCGUGCGCAGGCGGUUUAGGUAAGACAGAUGUGAAAUUCCCGGGGCUCAACCUGGGAAACUGCAUUUUGUGACUGCCCUGACUUAGAGUGCGGCCAGAGGGGGAGUGGAAUUCCCGCGUGUAGCAGUGAAAAUGCGUAAGAUAUGCGGGAGGAACACCGGAUGGCGAAGGCAAACUCCCUUGGGCCCUGCACUGGACGCCUCAUGCACGAAAAGCGUGGGGGAGCAAAACAGGGAUUAAGAUACCCCUGGGUAGUCCCACGCCCCUAAAACGAUGUCGAAUUAGUUUGUUGGGACGGGGUUACUGGUCCAGUAACGAAAGCUAACCGCGUGAAGGCCGACCCGCCUGGGGGAGUACGGCCCGCAAGGUUUAAAAACUCAAAAGGAAUUGAAUGGGGACCCCGCACAAAGCGGUGGGAUGGAUGGGGGUUUAAAUUCGGAUGCAACGGGGAAAAAACCUUUACCUUACCCU